CACAACAUGCUCUCUUCUCAUUAAUACCAGGAGGUACAAGAGCCUGAGGGGACACACACACACACAACAUGCUCUCUUCUCAUUACUACCAGGAGGUACAGGAGCCAGAGGGGACACAGACACACAACAUGCUCUCUUCUCAUUACUACCAGGAGGUACAGGAGCCUGAGGGGGCACACAAACAAACACACACACACACACACAACAUGCUCUCUUCUCAUUACUACCAGGAGGUACAGGAGCCAGAGGGGACACAGACACACAACAUGCUCUCUUCUCAUUACUACCAGGAGGUACAGGAGCCUGAGGGGGCACACAAACAAACACACACACACACACACAACAUGCUCUCUUCUCAUUACUACCAGGAGGUACAGGAGCCAGAGGGGACACAGACACACAACAUGCUCUCUUCUCAUUACUACCAGGAGGUACAGGAGCCUGAAGGGGCACACAAACAAACACACACACACACACACACACACAACAUGCUCUCUUCUCAUUACUACCAGGAGGUACAGGAGCCUGAGGGGACACACACACACACACACACACACACACACACACACACACACACACACAACAUGCUCUCUUCUCAUUACUACCAGGAGGUACAGGAGCCUGAGGGGACACACACACACAAAAUGCUCUCUUCUCAUUACUACCAGGAGGUACAGGAGCCUGAGGGGACACACACACACACACACAAAAUGCUCUCUUCUCAUUACUACCAGGAGGUACAGGAGCCUGAGGGGACACACACACACACAACAUGCUCUCUUCUCAUUACUACCAGGAGGUACAGGAGCCUGAGGGGACACACACACACACACACACACACACAAAAUACUCUCUUCUCAUUACUACCAGGAGGUACAGGAGCCUGAGGGGACACACACACACACACAACAUGCUCUUUUCUCAUUACUACCAGGAGGUACAGGAGCCUGAGGGGACACAC
Long non-coding RNA from Hypanus sabinus (Atlantic stingray), 961 nucleotides. RefSeq lists it as uncharacterized. The transcript has 3 exons. NCBI's taxonomy places the organism in Eukaryota, Metazoa, Chordata, Chondrichthyes, Myliobatiformes, Dasyatidae. The record is from RefSeq and is a predicted model, not a curated record.